Molecule: ribosomal RNA, 743 nt
Filed under: uncultured bacterium
Lineage: Bacteria
Description: bacterial SSU rRNA
Rfam family: Bacterial small subunit ribosomal RNA
Source: RNAcentral
GAACGCUAGCGGCAGGCCUAAUACAUGCAAGUCGAGGGGCAUCACGGAUAGCAAUAUCUGGUGGCGACCGGCGCACGGGUGCGUAACGCGUAUGCAACCUACCUUUUACAGGGGGAUAGCUCCGAGAAAUCGGGAUUAAUACCCCAUAACAUUACGGAUUGGCAUCAAUUUGUGAUUAAAGCUCCGGCGGUAGAAGAUGGGCAUGCGUGCCAUUAGCUAGUUGGUGAGGUAACGGCUCACCAAGGCAACGAUGGCUAGGGGUUCUGAGAGGAUUAUCCCCCACACUGGUACUGAGACACGGACCAGACUCCUACGGGAGGCAGCAGUAAGGAAUAUUGGUCAAUGGACGCAAGUCUGAACCAGCCAUGCCGCGUGCAGGAAGACGGCCUUAUGGGUUGUAAGCUGCUUUUGUCAGGGAAUAAACCCCCGUACGAGUACGGGGCUGAAGGUACCUGAAAAAUAAGCAUCGGCUAACUCCGUGCCAGCAGCCGCGGUAAUACGGAGGAUGCGAGCGUUAUCCGGAUUCAUUGGGUUUAAAGGGUGCGCAGGCGGACUUAUAAGUCAGUGGUGAAAUCCUACGGCUCAACCGUGGCACUGCCAUUGAUACUGUAAGUCUUGAGUAUAGUUGAAGUGGGCGGAAUGUAGCAUGUAGCGGUGAAAUGCAUAGAUAUGCUACAGAACACCGAUAGCGAAGGCAGCUCACUAAGUUAUAACUGACGCUCAUGCACGAAAGCGUGGGGAUC